Molecule: ribosomal RNA, 274 nt
Filed under: uncultured bacterium
Lineage: Bacteria
Description: partial 16S ribosomal RNA
Rfam family: Bacterial small subunit ribosomal RNA
Source: RNAcentral
AUACGGAGGGUGCAAGCGUUAUCCGGAAUCAUUGGGUUUAAAGGGUCCGCAGGCGGUCAAUUAAGUCAGAGGUGAAAUCCCGUAGCUCAACUACGGAACUGCCUUUGAUACUGGUUGACUUGAGUCAUCUGGAAGUAGAUAGAAUGUGUAGUGUAGCGGUGAAAUGCAUAGAUAUUACACAGAAUACCGAUUGCGAAGGCAGUCUACUACGAAUGUACUGACGCUGAGGGACGAAAGCGUGGGGAGCGAACAGGAUUAGAUACCCUUGUAGUCC